Molecule: ribosomal RNA, 405 nt
Filed under: uncultured Bdellovibrio sp.
Lineage: Bacteria; Pseudomonadati; Bdellovibrionota; Bdellovibrionia; Bdellovibrionales; Pseudobdellovibrionaceae
Description: bacterial SSU rRNA
Rfam family: Bacterial small subunit ribosomal RNA
Source: RNAcentral
UAGGGAAUAUUGCACAAUGGAGGAAACUCUGAUGCAGCGACGCCGCGUGAGUGAUGAAGGCCUUCGGGUCGUAAAGCUCUGUCGCAGGGGAAUAACACAAUGAAUGUACCCUGCAAGAAAGGAUCGGCUAACUUCGUGCCAGCAGCCGCGGUAAGACGAGGGAUCCUAGCGUUGUUCGGAAUUAUUGGGCGUAAAGCGGGUGUAGGUGGCUAUGUAAGUCAGGUGUGAAAGCCUAGGGCUCAACCCUAGAAGUGCAUUUGAUACUGCGUAGCUUGAGUGGUAGAGAGGAUAGUAGAAUUCUUGGUGUAGUGGUGAAAUACGUAGAUAUCAAGAGGAAUACCGGCGGCGAAGGCGGCUAUCUGGCUACACACUGACACUCAGACCCGAAAGCGUGGGGAUCAAACA